RNAcentral lists this long non-coding RNA (241 nucleotides) under Elaeis guineensis (African oil palm). RNAcentral's name for it is "long non-coding RNA (EGUI_LNC060058)". Lineage: Eukaryota; Viridiplantae; Streptophyta; Magnoliopsida; Arecales; Arecaceae. The record is from RNAcentral.
AGCUAUCAUUUGUGAGACAAGGGGAUAGGACCGCUGAGAUACUUAUCUUGCUACACAUUUGAUGUGUGCGGUCCAUUCGAUAAACUAGACAAGAAAGGUUAUCUCUACUUCAUUAUCUUUACCAAUGAUUAGUCAUGAUAUGGGUAUAUGUAUGAGAUACAAAUCUAAAGCCUUUGAAAGGUUUAAAGAAUUCAAAUAUGAAGUAGAGAAGUAAAUCAAAAAAAAUUUAAAGAUACUUUGA